AGAACCUGAAGCACCUUAUAACAUGCAAAAUGCUGUAAUACCUAAUGGUAUUACUUUGAAUCAACUUGCCAAACAUUCUCUCAUCUAUAGAUUUAUGGA
Hibiscus syriacus is the source of this 99-nucleotide long non-coding RNA. RefSeq lists it as uncharacterized. NCBI's taxonomy places the organism in Eukaryota, Viridiplantae, Streptophyta, Magnoliopsida, Malvales, Malvaceae. The transcript has 3 exons. The record is from RefSeq and is a predicted model, not a curated record.